RNAcentral lists this ribosomal RNA (253 nucleotides) under uncultured bacterium. Its description in RNAcentral is "partial 16S ribosomal RNA". It matches the Rfam family "Bacterial small subunit ribosomal RNA", at positions 524 to 776 of the family's 1533-position model. The record is from RNAcentral.
UACGUAGGUGGCAAGCGUUGUCCGGAUUUAUUGGGUUUAAAGGGUGCGUAGGCGGUCCUAUAAGUCAGUGCUGAAAUAUCCCGGCUUAACCGGGAGGGUGGCAUUGAUACUGCAGGACUUGAGUAAAGUUGAGGUAGGCGGAAUGUGUCAUGUAGCGGUGAAAUGCUUAGAUAUGACACAGAACACCGAUUGCGAAGGCAGCUCACUAAACUGUAACUGACGCUGAGGCACGAAAGCGUGGGGAGCAAACAGG